UCGUGAUGGUCACACCUGUUCCCAUGCCGAACACAGAAGUUAAGCUCCUUAGCGCCGAUGGUAGUCGGACUUACGUUCCGCAAGAGUAGGAC
RNAcentral lists this ribosomal RNA (92 nucleotides) under Staphylococcus cohnii. Lineage: Bacteria; Bacillati; Bacillota; Bacilli; Caryophanales; Staphylococcaceae. The record is from RNAcentral.